GACGGGUUAGUAACGCGUGGGAAUAUACCCGGUACUAAGGAAUAGCCUUUGGAAACGAAGAGUAAUACCUUAUACGCCCUUCGGGGGAAAGAUUUAUCGGUAUCGGAUUAGCCCGCGUAAGAUUAGAUAGUUGGUGGGGUAAUGGCCUACCAAGUCUACGAUCUUUAGCUGGUUUUAGAGGAUGAUCAGCAACACUGGGACUGAGACACGGCCCAGACUCCUACGGGAGGCAGCAGUGGGGAAUCUUAGACAAUGGGCGCAAGCCUGAUCUAGCCAUGCCGCGUGAGUGAAGAAGGCCUUAGGGUCGUAAAACUCUUUCGCCAGAGAUGAUAAUGACAGUAUCUGGUAAAGAAACCCCGGCUAACUCCGUGCCAGCAGCCGCGGUAAUACGGAGGGGGUUAGCGUUGUUCGGAAUUACUGGGCGUAAAGCGCACGUAGGCGGACUGGAAAGUUGGGGGUGAAAUCCCGGGGCUCAACCUCGGAACUGCCUCCAAAACUAUCAGUCUAGAGUUCGAGAGAGGUGAGUGGAAUUCCAAGUGUAGAGGUGAAAUUCGUAGAUAUUUGGAGGAACACCAGUGGCGAAGGCGGCUCACUGGCUCGAUACUGACGCUGAGGUGCGAAAGUGUGGGGAGCAAACAGGAUUAGAUACCCUGGUAGUCCACACCGUAAACGAUGAAUGCCAGUCGUCGGCAAGUAUACUUGUCGGUGACACACCUAACGGAUUAAGCAUUCCGCCUGGGGAGUACGGUCGCAAGAUUAAAACUCAAAGGAAUUGACGGGGGCCCCCCCAAGCGGUGGACCAUAUGGUUUAAUUGGAAAC
This 820-nucleotide ribosomal RNA is filed under the name uncultured marine bacterium. Its description in RNAcentral is "bacterial SSU rRNA". It matches the Rfam family "Bacterial small subunit ribosomal RNA", at positions 100 to 957 of the family's 1533-position model. The record is from RNAcentral.